UGAUAGCUAUGAAGCGUGAGGUUGCUGCCCAAGCUGACGUAAGCAGCCUAUGGCAGGUUUUUCCGUGGAGCGAAUGUCAAGUUAGGAAACUGGCGACAA
Molecule: non-coding RNA, 99 nt
Filed under: bovine gut metagenome
Description: S10-Clostridia ribosomal protein leader
Rfam family: S10-Clostridia ribosomal protein leader
Source: RNAcentral